Molecule: ribosomal RNA, 114 nt
Organism: Bison bison bison
Lineage: Eukaryota; Metazoa; Chordata; Mammalia; Artiodactyla; Bovidae
Source: Ensembl
GUUUACAGCCAUACCACCCUGAACUCAUCCAAACACAUAUGAUCUCAGAAGCUAAGCAGGGUCAGGCGUGGUUAGUACUUGGAUUGGAGAAAAGAAGGGAACAUUUGUUAAACU